Molecule: long non-coding RNA, 866 nt
Filed under: Phascolarctos cinereus (koala)
Lineage: Eukaryota; Metazoa; Chordata; Mammalia; Diprotodontia; Phascolarctidae
Description: lncRNA (ENSPCIG00000020439.2)
Source: RNAcentral
CUUCCCUCAAGGAGUUCACAGUCUAAGUGGGGAGACAACAUGCAAGCAAUUUUUUAAAAAAUAAACUAGCUAUACACAGUGUAAACUGGAAACAAUCAACAGAGGGAAGGCAUUAGAAUGAAGGGGGAUUCAGAAAGUCUUCCUGUAGAAGGUGAGAUUUUAGCUAGGAGUUGAAGGAAGCCAGGGGAGUCAGGAGACAGAUGAAAAAGGAGAGUAUUUCAGUUCUGGAGGACAGCUAGUGACUUUGAAUCCCCAGACACAUUUAAAAAUGUGUUCUGCCAGCUAUGGCUUUUUACCGUUCUUAAUUAUUCAGUUGUAUUCUGCUUGGGUGAAAGGCAAGCUGGUGAGACUGUGGUGAUUCUGUCCUUUCUAGCAACAUGAUUUAGUUUUUAUCAUGCUCUGUUUCUUCCUAUAAUCAUUAAGUCAGUCUAAUGCAGCCACACAGCAGCCAGCCUGGUUUUCCCUGGGGCAGAGGAUCUAAUGUCAGCACAGCAAAAUACAAUUCAUAUUGAGUUGGAUGCAUUAAAUCUUUUUACUCAGGGUCUUGUCAAGAAAAACCAAUCUGUCUGCUGUCCAAUGUCCUGAGAACACCCUUGCCCAAGCAGGUGCGUGUGUGCACUGAUCACAGAAGGGACCAGCAUCUACUGCUCGAAUAUGAUUGUCAAGAUGGAGGUGCAUGUGUGUGUCACCCAUUGGCCUGAGGGAGCAGCUGCACACUAACAAAGAGCUCAUUUUGAUCCCUUUCCUGAUUCAACCGAUGGGUUUCUAUCAGUGGGUCAUCAUUCAAGACAGAGGAGCUAUCCCACGGAUGACUCGUUGUUAAGUGCCACCUGUAUGGGGACCAACAUAAGGAAUAAUGAUGGCAC